AUAAAAAAAUGGCGAAAUGAAAUUCACGGUACCAGGGUCAACCGAGCACGGACGCGUAAAGCCAACAAGGGGGGACCGGGGGAGCACGAGGAAACCGAGGAGACUGACCCAACCCGUGCUUGCGGCGGCGCUGCGCUGGUGCCGGCCACGGCCAUGAUCGGCGGCGGGCGGGCAGCGGAUAGCCACCCGGCGUCCUGCUCGUCCUCGUCCUCGUCUUCCUCCUCGCCGUCAGGCCCGUCGACGGGGGGCUCCCGCCUUCACCGCAGCAAGAGGCGUCCCGACAUCCUCAACAUGCUCAUGGAUGACGAAGGUGAAAAUGAUGCCUAAGUUAUGU
Molecule: long non-coding RNA, 334 nt
Filed under: Zea mays
Lineage: Eukaryota; Viridiplantae; Streptophyta; Magnoliopsida; Poales; Poaceae
Description: drought responsive lncRNA
Source: RNAcentral